Molecule: ribosomal RNA, 1439 nt
Filed under: uncultured bacterium
Lineage: Bacteria
Description: bacterial SSU rRNA
Rfam family: Bacterial small subunit ribosomal RNA
Source: RNAcentral
AGGGUUUGAUCAUGGCUCAGAACGUACGCUGGCGGCACGCCUAACACAUGCAAGUCGAACGAAGUAGCAAUACUUAGUGGCAGACGGGUGAGUAACAUGUAGGUAUCUGCCCUUUGGCCUGGAAUAACACGAGGAAACUUGUGCUAAUACCGGAUAAGUCUUUACGGAGAAAGCUUUAUGCACCAUUGGAUGAGCCUGCACUUGAUUAGUUUGUUGGUGGGGUAAUGGCCUACCAAGACUGUGAUCAAUAGCUGAUUUGAGAGGAUGAUCAGCCACAUUGGGACUGAGACACGGCCCAAACUCCUACGGGAGGCAGCAGUGGGGAAUCUUGCACAAUGGAGGAAACUCUGAUGCAGCGAUGCCGCGUGAGUGAAGAAGGCCUUUGGGUUGUAAAGCUCUUUCGUCGGGGAAGAAAAUGACUGUACCCGAAUAAGAAGGUCCGGCUAACUUCGUGCCAGCAGCCGCGGUAAUACGAAGGGACCUAGCGUAGUUCGGAAUUACUGGGCUUAAAGAGUUCGUAGGUGGUUGAAAAAGUUGGUGGUGAAAUCCCAGAGCUUAACUCUGGAACUGCCAUCAAAACUUUUCAGCUAGAGUAUGAUAGAGGAAAGCAGAAUUUCUAGUGUAGAGGUGAAAUUCGUAGAUAUUAGAAAGAAUACCAAUUGCGAAGGCAGCUUUCUGGAUCAUUACUGACACUGAGGAACGAAAGCAUGGGUAGCGAAGAGGAUUAGAUACCCUCGUAGUCCAUGCCGUAAACGAUGUGUGUUAGACGUUGGAAAUUUAUUUUCAGUGUCGCAGCGAAAGCGAUAAACACACCGCCUGGGGAGUACGACCGCAAGGUUAAAACUCAAAUGAAUUGACGGGGACCCGCACAAGUAGUGGAGCAUGUGGUUUAAUUCGAAGAUACGCGCAGAACCUUACCAACACUUGACAUGUUCGUCGCGACUUUAAGAGAUUAAAGUUUUCGGUUCGGCCGGACGAAACACAGGUGCUGCAUGGCUGUCGUCAGCUCGUGUCGUGAGAUGUUGGGUUAAGUCCCGCAACGAGCGCAACCCUCACUUUUAGUUGCCAUCAUUAAGUUGGGCACUCUGAAAGAACUGCCAGUGAUAAGCUGGAGGAAGGUGGGGAUGACGUCAAGUCCUCAUGGCCCUUACGUGUUGGGCUACACACGUGCUACAAUGGUAUCUACAACAGGAAGCAAAACUGCGAAGUUAAGCAAAUCCUUAAAAGAUACCUCAGUUCGGAUUGCACUCUGCAACUCGAGUGCAUGAAGCUGGAAUUACUAGUAAUCGUGGAUCAGCGUGCCACGGUGAAUGCGUUCCCGGGUCUUGUACACACCGCCCGUCACACCAUGGGAGUUGGUUCUACCUUAAGGCAAGGUUUAAAACCCUUGACCACGGUAUAGUCAGCGACUGGGGUGAAGUCGUAACAAGGUAACCGUA